Molecule: ribosomal RNA, 603 nt
Filed under: Metriorrhynchus sp. UPOL A00043
Lineage: Eukaryota; Metazoa; Arthropoda; Insecta; Coleoptera; Lycidae
Description: partial 16S ribosomal RNA
Rfam family: Bacterial large subunit ribosomal RNA
Source: RNAcentral
CAUGUCCUUUUGAUAAUAAUUUAAGGUCUAAUCUGCUCGAUGAUUAUUUAAAUUGCCGCAGUAUUUUGACUGUGCAAAGGUAGCAUAAUAAUUAGUUUCUUGAUUAGGAACUGGAAUGAAUGAUUGGACAAGAAAAUAACUGUCUCUUUUCUAAUUUUUUUGAAAUUUAUUUUUAAGUGAAAAAGCUUAAAUAUUUAUAAAAGACGAGAAGACCCUAUAGAGUUUAAUAAAUUUAUUUAAUAAAUGUUUAGAAUAAUAUUUUUCUUAAGUUUAUUUGGUUGGGGUGAUUUAAAGAUAAAACUAAUUCUUUAAUAAAAUAAUUGAUGAUUAUUAAAUUUUAAAUCUAUAGUUUAUAAAGUUAAAAUUAAUUACCUUAGGGAUAACAGCGUAAUUUUUCUUUAAAGCUCUCAUUAAAAGGAAAGUUUGCGACCUCGAUGUUGGAUUAAAAUUAAUUUUUGGUGCAAUAACUUAAAAAUUAGGUCUGUUCGACCUUUAAAAUUUUACAUGAUCUGAGUUUAAACCGGUGUAAACCAGGUUGGAUUCUAUCUUUAGAAAUUUAAUAUAUUUUAGUACGAAAGGACCAAAUAUAUAUUAAAUUAAUUG